This 66-nucleotide transfer RNA is filed under the name Potamotrygonocestus sp. MZUSP 7996. RNAcentral's name for it is "tRNA-Trp". Lineage: Eukaryota; Metazoa; Platyhelminthes; Cestoda; Tetraphyllidea; Onchobothriidae. The record is from RNAcentral.
AUGAAAUUAAGUUAGUUUAGACUGGGUGUUUUCAAAACAUUUAGCGAUAUAUUUUAUCAUUUCAUG